Molecule: non-coding RNA, 294 nt
Organism: Cinara cedri
Lineage: Eukaryota; Metazoa; Arthropoda; Insecta; Hemiptera; Aphididae
Source: the annotation of a GenBank genome assembly
AUAACAGAACAGUUCGCUACGUAAUAUUAUUAAAACUGACGGUAUGCAAAGUUUUCACGCGCGCGGACGCGCGAAUUCACUACGCUGUUUGUAAGACCGAGACACAGCACACGCGGGGGCGUAGCGUCCUCGUAAGGUCGUCCGUUGAAAACACGGUGAAACUCGCAUCGCCCGGGCGCAGCAGUCGUAAUACCACUCGACGCCUUCCACACAUUCGCCUGUGUAAUCCCGCAGCCGACCGAACCGAAUUUCGCCUUUAGAGCCCCAAGCCGCGGUGGCUGUGGACGUCCUUCC